This 1211-nucleotide long non-coding RNA is filed under the name Ananas comosus (pineapple). RNAcentral describes it as "long non-coding RNA (ACOM_LNC029648)". Lineage: Eukaryota; Viridiplantae; Streptophyta; Magnoliopsida; Poales; Bromeliaceae. The record is from RNAcentral.
CCUUUUAUUAGUUGUAUAGAUUACUAGUGAAGGACCCGUGCGUUGCUGCUGGAUGAUUUCGUAGAAAUAAAUAUAUAAAUAAAAUAAAAAAUAGUAAAAAAAAAGUCAAGAAAUUAUAUAAAAAAAUAAAUGAAAAAUAAGUAACUAUUACUGUAAUAAAAAUAUAAAAAUAAAUUAUAAGAAGGAUUAAAAAAAAUAAAGGCAAAAAAUUAUACGAAUAAAAAUUAUAUUUAUAACAACAUUAAACGUUGAGAACUAAAACAAUAUACCUUAUAUUUCAAGUUUGAAAUUACAACUAAUUAAAGUUUGAGGAUCAAAUUAAUUAAAGUGUCACAUGUCUCAUAGUUUAAAUCAUAACACAAUAAAAUUUUAAGGACUAAAAGUGUAACGCGCCUGUGCGCGCCAUGCGCCUGCCCGGAUUGGAAGUUGAAUCCAGAAGGAAUAAAUAUUUAUUCGGAUUAAAUUUUUUUAAAAAUUUUUUAAUUAAAAUAUGAGUUUAAAUUUAAAAAUUAAAUUUAUAAUAUUAAAUUUUAAUUUGAAUUUGAAUUAAAAAUUAAUGAAUUCAAUAAAUCAAAAAUUUGAAUUAAAAUUAUAAUAUUCAAAUUCAAACUUAAAAUUAAAUAAAAUUUAUGAAUUCAAAUUAAAAUUUAAAUUAUAAUUUUAAGUUUGAAUUUGAAUAAAUCGAAAUUUAUUUUAUAUUUUUAAUUAUCCACUCACCUUCAUAGUUUAACUUUUUCUAAAAAAAUAGAUUUAAAAUUUUGACAUUAUUUUAAAAUUUUGAUGUAAAUUUUUAAUAUUUAAUUUUUAAUCUGAAUUUAAAUUAAUAUAUAAAAUUAAAAUUUAUAUUUAAUACAAAUAGUCUAAACUAUAUAUUUUAAAUUUUUAUAAUAAUAAAUAAAAAUUUAGAUUGAGUUGAAAAAAAUUAUAAAUCUUCUUCUUUAUUAUAUAUGAAGAGAGAAAAAAAUUAAAGAGAGAAGAAAAAAAAUUGAAGAGAGAGGAUAAAAAAUUGAAGAUAGAGGGAAAAAAAUUGAAGAGAGAAGGAUAAAAAAAAUUGAAGAGACUGGGAAAAAAUACAAAAAAUUGAAGAGAGAGGAAAAAAAAAUGUUUGAAGAGAGGGAUAAAAAAAAAAUGAAGAGAGGGAGAAAAAAUAAAAGAAAAUUGAAGAGAGAGGAAAAAAAAAGGAAGAGAGAGGAAAAAAGAAAAAUACAACU